CCUCACUGUGGGCGGCAUGCUAUUCUCAGUGUGAGUUCCCUAAUGGCCAUAAUGGAGGACAAGACCAUUUAUUAUUACCGGGGGGUGAGGUAUGUAUACGGCUACAAUUAAGGAGAAAAACAUCCUGGUGCUUGUAAAGGGCAGUAAUGUGACUCAGGGAGUGAUGGAUGCUGGGGAAUGAGUCGCAGGCCGGUGGGAGUAUCUUAUUAUCUUAGGCGUGUUAGGGAUCCGUCAUUGAGGUAAAUUAAAGAAGGAGAGAAGAGGUGAUGGAGGGUAAGGAAAAAUGAAAGAAGAAGAAAGAAAAAAAGGGACGUAUGCUGAUCUUACAGGGAAGUAGCAAGGAAGUAGGAGAUGCAAAGAAGGUGGUACUCAUGUUUGCUCAAUAUCUAACUGCAUACCAGAAGCCAAGACAGAGAGCAUGCUUACUUCGAGCGUGUAUAUUUCUUCAAUAUUUAACAUGAGAUGCUUUUCUGUUUUUCCUGCAACUAAAUAACACCACUGAGAUUUUACCCUACUUGCAAAAAGUUUGUUUGUGUGUAAGCUGUGAUGACUGCAACUAUCCAGCAUGAAUAUAAAGUUGUACCAUUGCCUCCUUCACCUAUGUAUGCACAGGUGUAUGUGGUAUGUAUUUUAUCGUCAUUAUUUAUACUGAUUUAAUCAUGCGCAUGCAUGCCUAUUUUUCUCUGCAGCUUUCCAGUGAAAUUAUUCUGUCAUUGCAACAUCCAAAGUCAUUAGUGUAUGCCUGGUAACACAUUAUAGUAUGCAUGUACAGAACAUGCCUGUAUACCCUUUUUUAAUAAGAAGCUAUCUAUUUGAAUUACUGUAUCAGGCUGCAUCCACAAUCAGUAGUUUACCCUGGGGACUGAGUCGGACAGACGGUAUGGGUGGUCAGCAGCAAGCAAAUCUCAAUUACACUGACAGGUGACAGUGAACUAAAUAAAUUAUCAUUAUGCCUGCAGAGCAGAGCCAAAUGUAUUACAGGGUCUAUGCGUAUGUUUACGUGGGGCACUGGUAUACGUGUGUCCUCUUUUGGGAUAAUCAGCUCUAUGCAUGAAUUCAUUGUGUGGGGCAGCAAAUGCCAAUGAGCUGCCUAAUGGCACCAUUAGGCUCUGACAAAUGAAAACACUAACUUACACCAAAAUGGAGAUUCAUAGGUUUCAUUGCAGUUGGUUUCUUAACCAUCACUGCAGGGUCAACCUUAUGAUUAUGUAUGCCUGUGACAUUUUGAACUGCCAUUGAUUCAAAUGGAACAUUUUUGUCCAUGGAUCACAGUGAUUCAGGUAGUACAUGAGGUGAAAUCCUAGAAUGUAACAGGGGCGGAUUUUAUUAUCUCUGGUGAUUGGUUAUGUCUAGCCCUAAUAGAGGCAAAGUCUGUCCAAAUCAGGCAAUCAGGGAGGUUAACUCUGCGCUGACUUGGGCUUUCUAAUACUGAUGUAUCAUUAGGCUAUGAUGGGUGUGAUGUUAUAUGACUAAACCCUCCAAGCAAUGCAAGUAAAACCUUAAAAAGUCAGGUAAGGUGAUGGACGAGCACAGUGGGAAAUGGUACCAUUUGUACUUUGCUUAUCAUGUAUAGCUUCAAAGAUGUCACUUUCACUAAACCAAAAACCGACUCCUGUGGAUAAAUAGUAAAACAAUUCAUCCUCCAUUGCCAAGGAAAACAUCCCCACAAACUGACUAUUCAUACCCAUAAAAAAUUAGAACAAAAUUGUAUGUCCUAGAACCCCAAACAAAUGGUAGACAGUUUUCUCCAUGUCCAUUUCCUGUCAUACCCUGAAAUCACUUCGAUACAAGUUGUGUAGACUGAAUUAUGUAGCAGACUGCCUGAAAAAUAAAUGCAGUACAUAACCUUAAAAAAACCAAUUGGUAUUUAUAAGCACACGGAGGCCAGGGGACUAAGAAAUAUCCCAUUUAAACCAUGCUGAUAUGCUGUUUAGACACCAUGCAACGUUUUCCAUCUCAUCCUUAUCUGGAUAAUCCAAAAUUCCAAAAAUGGGAAUAAAAUGUCAUGGUCCUCUAUCUCAUGUACAUACCCGUGACAUUUCUUGAGCAUGGGGUAUAAACUUUGUUUAUCCCUGGAUCUGUGUGUGCUGAGCAUGUGUGUCUGCAUGGGCUUCGUCUGUUAGUGUGUCUAAUCUGAUGUGUUUGUUGCAUGUGUGUCUGCUGUGUCUAUGUUUGCAGGUGGACUUUGUAAAUUUACUUUCCGGUAGAUGUCCUUGAUUUGCAGUGUCAGUGGUGUGCGCUGAGAGACAGGCCAGUUUAAUGCACAAAUAGAUAAUCCCCAGCCUUGUGGUGGAUGCAAUAUGAUAAGAAAUUUAUUGUCAUACCGAUGUGCUUUCAUUGAUAUCAUCAUGCGCCAAAUGCAGGAUCGGAGAGCGGAAAAAUGGUAAGAAACAGAGCGACAUAGAGGAACCCGGAGAAAGACAGAAACUAAGACAAUUAGUCACAAAAUGAGACAGAAUGAGCACGGGCCGAGAAUAAGAAGCUAUUCAGUUAUUCAGACAGAAGGAAUGACAAAGACAGUCAGACAGCAGGAGCAGGAGAUAGAAAGAGGCAGAUGGGGGACAUUAAGUCAAAGUUAAGUAACCAUCGUCUGCUUCUUUAUCUCACCCAGAUAUGCUAAUCCAGUGAGCCUCUGCUGAUAUGAGUUUAACAGCCUGGCUGGUGCGUGUGUGUGCGUAUGUGUGUGCGCGCGUCUGUGUCUGUGUGUGAGUGUGAGAGAGUGCGAAAAAGACCCAGUUGUCCUUUUUCAUCAUGCUUCCAGUUACACCAGCUCUGCUUAGCCUGUACCGGAUGACACAGUUAUAAUCUCAUUGCAAUGGAAAAGUACGGAUAAAUUACCUAAGGCACUCAGCAAAAUGUGACUGGUUGCGUUUGCAAGGGCAGGAUAAACAUAAUAGUGUGUGAAGUGACUAAAUGUGUGUGUAUGUGUGUUUGUGGAGGGAAGAGAAAAGAGUAGAAGUGUGUGCUCUUGGCAGAGAAAAGAAUUAAUGUGUGUGUGAAUGGUUUGUAUUUGGGUCAGAGAAGUUUGGGAACCAGUGCUAAAUUGUUUCGGGUUAUAAGAUGCAAAUGGACAGUCUGGAAAUAUAAGAGCUAGAGAGCAGGGUCACAUAUAGAUCUGUCAUCAAAACAAAUGUAUGAGAUCAACAAAACUAGGACACUUGAAUGGGCCUGUUGCACAAAAGUUUACCUGAGACUAAUCUGCAGAUUGAUUUCAAAUAAUUUUCUUUUUCCAAGUUUUUAAAGACUUUUUGAAGAUUUAUAAGAAAUUUCGGUUGUUUACAAAAGCCCACAAGGCAGAAAUGUAUUUUUGCUUUUAACAGACUUUGUUAAUUUUAUCAGAAGAACCCACACAGGUUCUUAUUUAGUUACUUCUUUAGGACAAACUCUGUGGUCUCAGUCAGAAUCAAGCAUCAUGUCUGCAAACUUUUGAUAUAUGUUCUAAAGCUGAAUGUAGUGAAAUUAAUUUAUUGAAAGGUUCAACAGAGUAAAUUUGAUGAUAGAAAAUCAGAGUUAAAAAAACAGUAUGUAACUGAGUUACAAAAGUAUGUACAGUUGUUGUUAAACUUCAGUAAAAGCAAAUAGGGGGGGAGUAGUUGAAAGAAAUAUUCUAUAUAAAAUAAAGCUGAAUGAGCAAAAUGAUUGAUGGAAUUUUUAACAGAGUGCUCCUCAACAAAGGAAUGAGUACAAACUAUUUGACUGGGGAUGUAAAUGUGUGCGAAAACAGAGCUGUGAAUUCACCAUUUUCACAGGAUCUGUGUAUUGCCAGUUUGCCCAGCGACAGAAGGGGUGGUAUUUUCAAAAGAUUCCCCCCAGGAACCCAGUUUAAAAAAGUUUGUGUUGUCAGUGUUCAAAAUGCUCUUUCUAUGUUAAAGAACAGCCAAAAGGCAACAGCAAUUUAUCGUUUUCUACUGAAUAUGUUUCUGUGCGCACAACCCCUUUGAAAGACCCAACCAAACCCACCACAUGCAAGCACUGGGCAAUAUUUUGCAACAGGGGCACAGAUAUAGUUCUUGUUAAACAGGCAGAAAACAGGGAGCAGGUUUUUAGGUUUCUUUUAAAGCAAAUCUAAUUGCCGCUCCAGAGAGGCCUCAUUACCAUAUUCAACAUUUCAAACUACUCACAAAUGAUCAAGGGCUGACUUUGACGACUGGAUUUUGGAGUGUGCCUAAUAGCUAUCAUGGCGCUCGACAUUAAGUGUUCUUAAUGUUUAAAAAACAAGUUUUAGCACUCGUGUCAAGCAUAAUUCUGGGUGAAAUAACCUGACAGGAUCCCAUACACAUCAGAGCCUUCAUAUCAGACAACCCACGGACACUAAUUUCAUAUCACAUGGCUGUGAGUUUAUCUUCAAUAUUUGAGACCAAUCAAUUAGACAUGCUUCUUGCUAACUCUGAGACUUGACCUAGUAACACAAAUAGAUUAUAAUCUAGCAGAUGCUUUCAUGUAAGGACAAGUUCAUGUUGGUUCAAGAGGGGAAAAAGUGCUCAGACUGUGUAACAUAGUGUGACUGAUCAGCUGCUGCAGCAUUUGUCGUCUGAUUCCAAUUCACCUUUAUUUUCAGUGGCAUGUUCCUGCGACUUUGGCAUGCUGCAGUUAUGUGUAGCCAAUCAUCACUCGGGCCCUAACGAUGGCGAGAUUGUACUAUAACAUAAUAGAAACUCAUGAGCAUGGCCACAUGCUGUGAAAUCCAUGACACAUCUGCAUGAACGGACAUGCACCCACUGUCAUGCAUGUACACUGGGAUGAACACACUCUCACAGACACACUCACAUCAGAGAUCUCAGAACCUUUUGCCGGUAAAAUGACUAUUUCAAGCCCCGAUGGCUAAAGUGAAUAAAGCCCCAUUAACCGUCUUCUUCUUUUUUUUUCAAUUCUCUCCAUUUCUCUCUCUCUUCUUCUGUUUAUUUCCUUUCUUGACAGUCUCUUCCUCUUUCUCUCCCCUUUUCCUUCUCAACCCCACCUUUCUAUCCAUCUAACUCUCCUCCUCAGCCCUCUCUCUCUCUCUGUCUCUCUCUAAUAUCUCCCCUGCAGCCAUUUUCGGGACUCUACAGGGAGGGAAGCAAUCUUGGAUUUAUUUUACCUCCAAUUUCCAAUUUGAGAGACCCCUGCUGCUGGAGGCGAAUCUUCGAAGGGGCCUGAU
Molecule: non-coding RNA, 5137 nt
Organism: Xyrichtys novacula (pearly razorfish)
Lineage: Eukaryota; Metazoa; Chordata; Actinopteri; Labriformes; Labridae
Source: the annotation of a GenBank genome assembly